GAUGAAGAUCGUAGCGAAAUGCGAUAAGUAGUGUGAAUUGCAGAAUUCAGUGAAUCAUCGAAUCUUUGAACGCACAUUGCGCCCCUCGGUAUUCCGUGGGGCAUGCCUGUUCGAGUGUCAUUUAACCCCUCAAGCCUAGCUUGGUAUUGGGUGCUUGUCCCGCCUCUCGCGCGGCGACUCACCUCAAAGUCAUUGGCAGCCCGCAUCUCGCCGGCCGUGAGCGCAGCACAGACGCGCUCUUGGCAACGACGGAUCGGCUCUCCAAAAGCUUAUUUCAACCACUGACCUCGGAUCAGGUAGGGAUACCCGCUGAACUUAAGCAUAUCAAUAAGCGGAGGA
This 339-nucleotide unclassified non-coding RNA is filed under the name soil metagenome. Its description in RNAcentral is "partial contains 5.8S ribosomal RNA, internal transcribed spacer 2, and large subunit ribosomal RNA". The stretch from base 1 to 120 matches the Rfam family "5.8S ribosomal RNA", at positions 35 to 154 of the family's 154-position model. The record is from RNAcentral.